GAAUGAGGCAAGACCCUUCGAGGUGAUUGGCUCACCUGACCUUCACCUCCUCGUGCACGACCCUGACAGUAGGGUCCCCAAGGGCUUUGGAACUGGGGGAUUGGGACACGUGACUUCCCUGGCCAUUCACCUUGAAGUGGACACGGGCUGGGACGGAGUCUUGCUCUGUCGCCCAGGCUGCAGUGCAGUGGCGCGAUCUCGGCUCACUGCAAACUCCACCUCCCAGGUUCACGCCAUUCUCUUGCCUCAGCCUCCCAAGUAGCUGGAACUACAGAGAAGGGGUUUCAGCAUGUUGCCAAAGCUGAUCUCAAAAUCCUGGGCUUCUGUCGGGAAUUGGUGGGUUCUUGGUCUCACUGACUUCAAGGAAGCCAUAGACCCUCAUAGUGAGCGUUACAGCUCUUAAGGUGGUGCACCUGGAGUUUCUUCCUCUUGGGGGGCUUGUGGUCUCGCUGGCUUCAGGAGUGAAGCUGCAAACCUUCACCAUUAGUGUUACAACUCUU
RNAcentral lists this long non-coding RNA (500 nucleotides) under Pongo abelii (Sumatran orangutan). RNAcentral describes it as "lincRNA". The record is from RNAcentral. Lineage: Eukaryota; Metazoa; Chordata; Mammalia; Primates; Hominidae.